Peromyscus leucopus (white-footed mouse) is the source of this 1369-nucleotide long non-coding RNA. RefSeq lists it as uncharacterized. The transcript is spliced from 2 exons. NCBI's taxonomy places the organism in Eukaryota, Metazoa, Chordata, Mammalia, Rodentia, Cricetidae. The record is from RefSeq and is a predicted model, not a curated record.
AAGGUGGGGUUUCUCGGCUUUACUCACCUGAUCACCUGUCUUCUGAUUACUGAUUUGAACUACAUUUCCCAGGAUGCAGUGAAAUGCAGCUUUGAUUUCUGGAAGUUUGCCAUUUGCCAGUAGCAAGGACUAGACGAUUUAACCAUCUUAACAGCUCUUAAGAAGAAAGAAGUCCAGGAAAUCCAGGCAACAUUGCCGAGGCUUUUUUGUUUCUCCUGCUCUUCAAUCUGGAUAAAGGAUUAUCCUCUCUCCUUGAGCAAGAAGCUCAGCAGGAGUGGGAGGAAUUGGAUGCCUCUUUGCUCCGGGUGAAGGUGGACAUUUUUUCUUUCCCCAACAGGCCCCGCCCACAGAUGCUCAGCAAGGAAGAUGGGUAAGGGACUGUCAGUCCGGGCAGUUCCUGGCUGUUUGGGAAGACAAGUGUGCAUUUGAGCCCGAGGCUGCCUCAGUAUUGCCCAUGGGGUUGAAGGGCUCAGAUUUGGAAAGCUUCCUGACCCUGGCUGAGAAAGAAAAAGCCCCAAAGGAAAUAAAAGUGCCCCCCUCCCACCCUGCAUUUGCUUUAAUGUGAGGUCUGGAAAUUCUCCAAGAAACACCAAUGAUUUCUAGAUAAAGUUCUACUGAGGGCAGUGCCUGGGCAAGUACAUUCUUAAGAACAAAGAACAGAGAACUGAGUCACUCCACCUCCUUAGGUCAAACAGAGGUAUUCUUGGGCUUAUGCAACGUGCUGUGCAACUCGGAAUUCCAGGGAUACCGCUGACUUAAAUAUACAUGAAUCCCAGGCCUGACCACCUUAGGACCAGUUUCUCUAUUUCAGCCUCUGACUGAUGGAGCAGAGAGGAUUCUAAAACUCUACAGAGCCGCCUCUCGAUUUCCUGCCUGAAUCCAAGGGAAUAUGAAGAUGAUGCAAUGUUGACCCUGUGGUUACGUCACCUCACACGACAAAGGAGAUUUUUCUGAUGUAAUUAAGAGCACCAAUUGCUUGACUUUGAGUUCAUCAAAAAGAGACCUUAUCGUGAAGACAGUUUCCCCGACUGUGGCAGAAGAAAAUGGAGGAGGAGUUUGGGGUGCAGUAACCAGCACUGAAGAAGACAACUCGGUUAUGCAAAGUCUAAAGGAAGGGUCUAGAAGUCCAAGGGUGGGCUACAGCUGACGGCUAGCAGGAGAAUGAAGGUGUCUAUCCUACAACUGCAAGGAACUGGAUUCUACCACUACCUGUGAUUCUCCCUCAUCUCCUCCCCAGCAUCCAAAUUAGAAGGCGAUUCAGUUGACACCUUGGUUGGAGAUUUAUAAGACCUUAACCAGAAAAUUCAUCCAAGCCUGGCCAGACUUCUGGCUUACAAAAUGUUGAAUUAAUAAAUGUUGUUGCAAAGCU